CCUACGGGUGACAGCAGUGAGGAAUAUUGGUCAAUGGACGAGAGUCUGAACCAGCCAAGUAGCGUGAAGGAUGACUGCCCUAUGGGUUGUAAACUUCUUUUAUAUGGGAAUAAACUGUUCCACGUGUGGGAUUUUGUAUGUACCCUAUGAAUAAGGAUCGGCUAACUCCGUGCCAGCAGCCGCGGUAAUACGGAGGAUCCGAGCGUUAUCCGGCUUUAUUGGGUUUAAAGGGAGCGUAGGUGGAUUGUUAAGUCAGUUGUGAAAGUUUGCGGCUCAACCGUAAAAUUGCAGUUGAAACUGGCAGUCUGGAGUACAGUAGAGGUGGGCGGAAUUCGUGGUGUAGCGGUGAAAUGCUUAGAUAUCACGAAGAACUCCGAUUGCGAAGGCAGCUCACUGGACUGCAACUGACACUGAGGCUCGAAAGUGUGGGUAUCAAACAGGAUUAGAUACCCUUGUAGUC
This 460-nucleotide ribosomal RNA is filed under the name uncultured bacterium. RNAcentral's name for it is "partial 16S ribosomal RNA". It matches the Rfam family "Bacterial small subunit ribosomal RNA", at positions 338 to 795 of the family's 1533-position model. The record is from RNAcentral.